This is an RNA transcript of Corvus hawaiiensis (hawaiian crow), 10850 nucleotides long. It is a transcript of the gene named cytochrome P450 2J2-like, with no coding region annotated. The record is from RefSeq and is a predicted model, not a curated record. The transcript has 9 exons. Lineage: Eukaryota; Metazoa; Chordata; Aves; Passeriformes; Corvidae.
AAAAUAUUUUAGAGUUUUAUUUUCUUAGUUUUGCUGAAAUGACUUGUCUCUUUUUGGUUUUCAAGUAGCAACUUAACAAUCCAACCAUAUAUGUAUUUUUUUCCCACAGACUGAAAAGGCAAAGCUCAUAUAAUAGGGUGGAAAACAUCUGCCAUUGAAAAGGAUUAAAUCCAGAAAAAAAUAAAUUGAGUACACAUUUCAAUGGCAAGGACAACUUUUGAAGUAUACUCCUAUGGAAAAUGCAUCCCUGACUUCAGUCCGAUGCUCUUGGUUGUUCUUGGAAAGAGUAAAUACAUUUAUUGAGUUUAAAAUUGAGAAAAGAUUGCAUGGUAGGUGAAGAUUUGGGCUGUACAGGGACUCAGAGUAUCUGGUUUUUUUCCUCUCCUACAUUUUAAAGAUGUGUGAAUGUGUUGCUCUCGGAAAAGAGAUGGGCCUAGUCCAAGGAGAGUUGGAGAGAGACCUCAGGCAACCUUUCUGUGUUUUCACAUCAGUAUGGAAAACGAUGUGGAUGAGGGAUUUGGCUGCUCAGAAUAUUUAUAUUUAAUUGCUUUAUUUUGGCAGCUUGCUAAAAUUCUAUUGGUUUCUAUUUCAUCUAAAUCUUAAAAAGAAGUUUAGCUGGAUAACUGAAUGAUACAUUCCUUGUGCUGGGGUUAUUUCUCUGCCAAAUCCUAAAAGUCUGCUGUCCUAGAAUGACUUGUAGCAGGUCACACAUUGUGUAUUUUAAGGAGGGUUUUUCUAUACUCCUUGAGUAUAAAAAUUAUUACCAGCUGUGUUGAUAAUAAACAUUUUUUAAACUCUCCUUAUUUAAAAAAAACAAUUUUAUACUACCCACUGUGCAGACAAAACAUUUUUUGUAAAGAAUGCAGUUAAGAAGCCAGUGAAAGUUCUACUAAUAUCAAAAAUAUCUAUAUUACUUGUAAAAAUGUAUUGUGAAACUUUUACCACCCUUAAUAUUUCAGGAAGAGCUCUAAGUGUUGUUCUUCUAGUGAAUUUACCUUUUGUGUUUGCAAAGAUGUCCACAAGGUGACAGGCCUCUGUUUGAAUUUGACGCUCCAAAUUGUUCUUACCGUGUGCCAGGCUUCUUAUAAUUGUCAUGCCAAAGCGUCUUUGUUGUUUCCAGGUGUGGCCAUUUGUCAGGAAAAUACCUGAAAAACACAGAAACACUUAGUUCAUUGCUGGGAAGGGAAAUCUUUUCACUUCAGAAGGCAAAUUUUGAUUUAGAUUAGGUUAUAUUUCACUGACAAGAUAAAAUGAUUUUAGAAGCUGGGAUUUGGUUUCUGAGGACUUUAUCACCUCGGGCUGCUCAUAAAUGUGUCCUUGGAAACUGAGUGAGUUUUGGUAAGGACAGAACAGCUUUGUUUAUAGAUAUCUUCUACAUGAACAGUCCUUUGGUUUAGAAAUGAUACAAUUGAAGGGCAACUUCUCCAGGCAAGUAUUCCUUUGGAUCUAUCGGGAAGGAAAAAGACUGAGUGAUGUGCUUUAUACAACAAGAAAUUUUUGGUUUUUCCUUAACAUGCUUAGCUCUGCAUGAAACAUUUUUGCAAUGAAAGCCCAGUUAUGCCCUGCUACAGCAGUAGCUGAUGGGUGUGCACAGGAAAACCUCUUCCUUCUUUACACCUUGCUCCUGCCUCAGUCUUGUGUAACAUCUUAUACCUUUCUCGCCCAUCAUAUCUCUGUAGAAAGGGGUGAGAGGUCUUCCAGAAACUUCUUCUGAGUGGGUGACGAUGCCAUCUUUUACUGCUUUGUAUCCAUUCAGUACAACCAGAGGUGUCUGUCCCAUCCACAGAGUGUAGAUGUUUCCAUAGAUGUUGGUUAACUGAAGAGUUGAUAACAGGAAAUUCAUAAUUAUAAACCAGGGGAAGCAUGCACUCAAAUAUCAAUUUAUUUAAGGGUUUUCUAUUGUUGUAACUAAAUCCCUUUGUCGGCAUGAAAUUGAAUUGCGUGUUUCAGAAAAAAAAGGUCUUUCUGUUCUUAGUGUGCUUUGGGAACAGAACAUAAUUGUUCUUUAUUGAAUAGAUGCUAAGGACAUCUCUCAGAAGAACACCUCUGGAAAUUUCACUGCAAGAAAAACAGCAGGUUACUCUGUCUGCUCUGAAUCAAAGAACAAAUGAAUACAAGCAAAAUCCCCGAGCUUUUCUCUUUAUUUUAAUAAUGAGCCAAAAUGCUAACUUAGAAAGAAAGCAAAGAAAUGUUCUUGCAUUCUUUUCUAUAGCUUCCACAGGAUUUUUCUUAUUUUCCUCUGUUGUCAUUCAUCGUAUCAUGCUUAUAUUUUUCCUUGCAAUAGUGGGAAGCAAGUUCCUUACUUUUUAAAAGUAGUUUUGAUUGAUUUAUAAAGCAGUCGUGCUGUGAACAUAACAGCAAUCAGAUUUUCCUGCUUUGUUUUAGCAGUAACCUGUUUAUGGCAGACAAAAAAUCCUUUUACUGUGAAAACAAGGAAAAAAAAGAGUCUGUUUAGAGUAUGUGUUUGGUCUUCUAAUGGAGGUGUUCCAGUGACAUUGGUGUCAGGCAAGGGGAGCUCUACUAGAAGUGGCUUACAGGGCUGGAUAUCAACACAGAAACAGAAUGAAACUGCCAAAGAAAUACCAUUCUGUGACAGUGCUCGUGAGAAUGUAACCAAAAGAGAGAGGAAAAUAGCAAGGACUAAAGCAAUGUUGGGGUUUAUUGCUCAGAAAUAUUUUUAAUAAUGCAGGGUCCUUAGAGUCUUUGAAACUGGCUGGUAAUCAAGCUUAAGGUUUAAAAAUUAGCAUUUUAGGCUGUUCCAAUGCAAUGUACAAUUUAAGUUAAAAUAGAUUCAGACUGAUUUUCAACCACAGAGAUUAAAUAAAUACCUUACUGAGAGUUUCUCGGCGAAGUUUGAAGUCCAGCAGCCACAAAUUUCCGAUGAUGGGGAGAGGAACUGGUCCUGGAGGAAGCUGGGUACGCAUCCAUUGCAGCUUUAGGAGCUGCAAAAUCAGGAGACAUACUACCAGAGCUAUAAAAAUCUCAGUAAUCCCCAACAUUUUAUCAAAAUUUGAACUUGUCAUUGGGUUUUGGCUUUUCUUGGUCUUGUCUUUUUUUUUUUUUUUGUAUGACUUCUUCUGAAAAUUUGGAUUUGUGGAGAUGUGUUUCUUCUACUGAAUCCAAACUCUUUCUGAGGAUAUACCUCCUGUAGCCAUCUCUCUCUGACAAUCUACAGUUUUCCCAAGCUGAAGUCCUUAGAAAACCAAACUAUGUGAUCCUUUUUAGUCUGCCAAGCCACACCCACUCUUUUUUUAUGAUCUGUAAUUGUGAUCUGUCUCUUUUUUCACUUAGACUUUCGUUUCCUUUUUAGUCUUGAUACUGGGUCAAAAUGCCAAUUAUUGAACAGUUAUCCUAGGUUAUCAAGAGUUUUGCAUAAUGGUAACAGCUCAGGCAGUUUCAUGUAGUUGAACAUUGAAAUGCAUUAGUUAUUGUCAUUCUGAAAUACUACAAUUAUUGUACGGAUUCUUUGUAGAAGAAGAAGAAACAUCUACACAAUACCCGAGGACUCUGAGGUGUAAAAGAAUGAAUUCAUACAUCAUAAAGCUAAAUCAUUGUCUUUAAAAAGAAAAACAAAAGAUAAUUUAAUAAUUUGGAGAGUAUCUUGUUUCCCCUUUUAUCAGAUUCUAGGUUAAAUUAUAUUAGGUGAACACUAGUGAGAGAGUCUUUUUCUAUCCAUCAGAUUAUAUGGCUUGUAUUUUCUGAUUUUUUUAAAAAAACUUAAUUUUAUGCUAAGUUUUAAAAUCUUCUGGUGCAAAUUUUGGAGGUGAAACAAUGCACAGGUUCUAUUUGAUCUGUGGAAAAGAACAAAUAAAUGGAAGAAAGAGGCAAAACUUUUAAUCCUUACUUUUUAUUUUUGUGGACCCCGAAAGUUUAUAGGAGAGGUUUGUACGGGUGUGUAGCAAGCUCUAACCUGACACUUAACCUUUCACACUUACUGAUAUAUUACACAGUAUUUUUCAAUUACUUGUUCAAGAAUCCAGCUAAUGCUGUCUGUGAGUAUAAAUUGGAGAUUAAGGAAAUCCAUACAAUUGCACAAGUUGCCUGUUUCAAAAUUUUAUCAUAAUUUCUCUGAGCAGGCUUGCUGAAUUUUUCAGUCUGCCCUUUUCAGCUCAAAAAGUUUCUGCAAAAUCAAGAUUAUUGAUUGGAAUCAAUGUCGGUUAUGAUCCUGAGAUAUAAAGGUUUAAUGCUGUGCACGGGCUUCUUAAGAACUGAAUUAAACUUCAAGAAGUCGAGAGUUACAGGUGUGGACACUCAUUUCAGCUAGCUUUCUAAUGAGUUCAAUUUUUUUGUGUGUGGGAGUUAGUAAAAGAAACGUGUUAAAUACAACCUUGCAUUGUUCAGUCUUAAAAAAAAGGUGUAGAUGAGAAUUUGUUGGUUUGGUUUGGUUUUUUUUUUUUGCUCUAGUGGAUUGUAAUAACUUCAGGUUCUGACAGGAAGCCCAGGGGCAGUUUUGGGGGCUGCAGAGCAGCAGUGACAUUGCAGCAUUUUCUUGCCUUACUUUCCUGAGCAGCCACCACUUGACUUCUCUGUGCAGUUCCAUGCACCUCUUCUUCUUUAGUGUGCUGCAUGUGUGGAUGCUUUUGCAGGAAGUGUGGAAGUGGAGCAGCCAUCAGAGGCCAAAGAGCAGGCCUGCAUGCCUCUGUUAUCUGUUUAGGUUUUUUGGGCAGAGAAAUGGAAACAGAAAAAAUUGAUAAGCAUCAUUUCCAGCAGCAUGUUUCUAUGAAUCUUACAGUUCAAGAGUUAAAUAGACAAAAAAUGGAGGGAAGUAGUUUGAAAUUCGAUAACUUCUAUGGUUUUGUCAGCCAGUUCUGACAGUUCCAUAUGUGUAUCAAAAGUUGCAGUGUUAACUGAGUUUUGCUAUUGAGCAGUCAUUUAUCCACCCAUUUUUUCAGAGUUUGAUGCUAUUUGAGACUUUAAAAUGAGUUACCUGAUGAAAAUAUCUAAAUAACUUCACUUGCUGUUUGUCUACAUCACAACUUCAUUUCUUCAUAUGUUUUAUUUCUCGUCAUUUCUUUCAGCCAAUCCUGCCUGGUUAAAAGGAAGUGAGUGCUGUUCUAUUUCUUAUUUGUGCACAGAAUCACUUAUUAAAUUUGCAAGUUUUUCAACAGUUAAAGACCCCUGAAAGCUGUUGAUGCUCACAUACCCAUCAGUGAGGGUAUGAUUUAUACACUUAAAAUUACCAGAAUUAAGAUGAGUUAAGCCUUGAAGUUGCCUAUUAAUAACAGUGAUUAUGAUGCAACUUAAGAAAAGAAAACAAAAAGGAAAAAAGGCUUAAUGUGAGAGAAAUCUGGGUCAAGCUGAGUAAGUCUGGACUCACCAAGAGGAUUGGGCUGAGCCUGACCCUUUGAACUCUGUGGGGAGUGUGUUUUCCUGCUGCUAGGUGAGAGCUGUGGGCAAGCUGAAAUACAGUGAAGCAAAGUCGUUUCACAAAAGCUUGGGCUGGAGCUCACAAAGAGAGAAAAGGCAAGGAAGCUGUUUAAAUACUGCAUUUUUUAAUAUUUUCAGUAUACGUGAGCAGUAGCUCUUCACAUAAAUCUUGCUCAAACUCCUCUGACACAAAUACUAUUGCAAGAGCUGCAUCUCCAAUUAAGAUGACAGAUAUUGUUUGGUUGUUUUGAGUAGAUGAGGAAACCUGCUUUUGUAAUGAGGGUUUCAGGCCAUAGGAGGGGGAAGCAAAGAAGAGCAUCUUUAGGAAGGUGUGAAGCAAAUGAUGAAUGUUCAUGCUGGGGGUGGGAAGGGUUCCUGGCACACCUCUGCCCAGAGGGUGUGUCAUCUGCUCUGGCAGAAAAUCAGGGCUUGUUUUGUGUCUGUUGUAGGGACAGGCUCAGCAGGCAUUGGAAAACACUGCCUGGUGUUCUUGCUGCCUGGCCUGGCCUCAAGCUAAACAGCACAAGCAAUCUAAGCAAGUUUUGGGGUUUGUUUGUUUGUUUUUUUGUUGUUGUUUUUUCCCCCAGUGGAGACGCUAAUUUGGAUUUUUCAUCUUAGCUGUCCCUUCCUCCCCUGCAUUGCCUGAUCUUUCAAGAGCUUCAUAACAGGAGCAGUUAACUGGUUGGAGGCAUCAGAAUUUUUCUGAGGGAAGAGAGUUACACUGACACUCUAUGUCCAGGCAAGCACUGAGAGAGGGAGAAUGUGGCUUAGAGCACAGCUGGAGUGAACACAGGACUGGGAAAUGUGAGCAAAAGAAAUUCCCAUUCUGUGCUUCUGUUCAGUUCAGGAAAAGAGAACUUUGCUUACAUGCAUUAUAAAUAAAGUUGGGUGGGUUUUUUCCUCCAACUGUCACUGUUUUGUUGCGACUUGAAGAUUGAUGAGCUCUUUAGGUUGCAUAGACAAAGUACUGGAAUGGGACUUGAAACUUCAAAUUUUGUUCCUAGGUUUGUUCAUAGCUUCUCUGUGACUCUCAUGAACUUGCUUUAUCUCUCUGAGGCUAAUCAAUCCUGAAGUUCACUUUUCCAAAGAGCUUGAAGGUUGACUAAUGAAAGUCAAGUUGUAGAUGGCAGGUAUGACUGUUUCUGUUCUGUUCUUUCUCUGUAUUUUCUUCCCGCUCCUCUGGUCUAAAAUCUUCAUUAGAAAAUAGGGUUUUCUGAGCUGGCUAAACAUCUUCCAUCUCUGCGAGGAGCUCUUGUGACAGUAUUUGUCAGAUAAUAAUGAGUAAGACUUGCAUGGAGAGGUGCUGCUCAUAUCUAAUGAAGGUAUUAGAACCAGGAAAACUGAUUUUCCCCAAAAGAACUUGCUUGCAGAAAGUGUCUUUGUAAACAUCUGCCUCUACCUGUUUGAUCUCACAACUACUUUAUUAGUAUUUUAGUCCUUAAUUUGUGCACCAAAGUCCUACAAUUCGUGCACACAGAUGGAGUUCAUUUAAAUUCUAUCACUCUGCAUUACAAUGAAUUGUAACAUCCAUCACUUUCUCCUCCUGUUAGUAAUACAUAGUCAUCCUAAUCAUCUAAAAGUAAAGCCAGUUGGUAUAUCUAAUCUUAUAGAGAUUUACCAAGUUUUUGGCAUCACUGACAUGCAGUGAGAGCAGAACUAAAAAAGGCAAGAGCUCUAGCUAUAAGGAAGGAAAGUGACUGCUGUAAACAUUCCUCUUUUUGUUUUCCCAUGGUUUUUGUUGUUGUUUGUUUCAUUUGGGCUUUUUGGUUGGUUAGUUUUGCCUGUUUUGUUGUAAUGCAGUGCUAUUUAGGUGAAAGCAAUGCAGACCUUACACAGGUGCUGUGGUGCUGUAUGCCCUGAUGGUGAGGGUGCUACCAAGGCCUGGUGCCCUUUCAGUCUCCCUGGUUUGUGGAGAGCUGUGUAAUCUUGGCAGUGCUCUGCACUCAGCUGCAGAGGAGCUCAACAGAAGCCAGAAUUUCAUAAGUUGACCACAGCACAUAUCCAUUUCUCACUGAAGUGUCAGGAAGAAGUAAUUAAUGUUGUGCAGACAGUUUUACUUCUGGCAUUUCCUAAUGUUUGAGUAUUUGCAGCCUCAGCAUUCUUUUUGACAAUUUUCCAGAGCAGUAUCUGGUAGUCCAGAUCCUGCACUUGGAAUGUCAGAAGUUGUGGACAGAACAGAAAAUUUGAGGUAAGACUUGUUUGGAUGAAUUUGCCAGGACAAAGGUUUAGAGAUAGCCUAGGACCAACUCUUCCUUUCAUGCAGGUUACUGUCCUGACUGAUUCCUGAACACUGGAAGAAAUUUCUGGAAUCCAGCUCAGAUUAAUUACUGUGUGAGAAAGGAUUUUUUUUUUUUUUUUUUUUUCCCCCCUUCUUUCUCCAGGGAUGUGUUCUUGCCCUUGUCAACAGUGGUUGAGAUGGGUGCCUUGAAUGCUACUGAAGAACUUGGAUGAAUGAGUAAAAUGUGAAAAGAGCUUUCAAAAUGUGCCUGAUGUCGUUUCUGCCAGCUGAUAUGUAACACCAAUGUAUUAUGCAAGAGGAGUUGCGAGGAUGAGUUGAGUUAUUUUAGACUGCAAAUAUUGAGACAGAAUGACAGCUCACAGGGAUAUCUCUGCUGUGAGAGGAGCAACAGCCUCAGAGAAAGCACAGAGCAAGACAGGAGAGAUGUGGUGGAAAUAGCAAUUAAGAUCAGUAAUUGCCUUCUUGUGUUCCUUUUGCAGGGCUAUGUAUAUUUUUGGGCAAGCAGUCAGCACACAGGGACUUCUUUGUCUUCUGCAGCCUUUUGCAAGUGUUUAGAUUCACCCUGUCUGAUGGAAUUAAAGACACUCCUUUGGGGGGGGCACUGUGCAGCUCCAUCCCCAUAAGGUCUGCUGUUCUUCUAAAGGCAGCUUGGUACCAACAUCCCGAACAGCUUAUUCUUCUGCUGGCUGCACUCUAGAAAUCUUCUAAGAACUGCUCCUGUUUGUAGGGAUGUUUGUUUGUUUGUUUUGUGUUGAGGAGGUCUUUGCAUGUCCUGCUUCAGGUGCUGUGAAUUAAAAAUAAAGCAAAAUAUUACAGGCUCUGGAAUUAAUUCUGCUGAGCAGGACUCCUGCUACUGAGGUAAGGCAGGAACUAAUUCAUGAAGCCUAAUAGGGAACAAGAACUCAGCCCCAAAAUGGAGUUUGAUGUGAGGUCUGUUACACUUUUUGCCAACGGCACUAGUUAUGUUUGAUUCUUCACUGUGCUAUUUGCAGUUCAUCUGUAUUGUUUGCUGUGAAAACUCAAAUUACAACUGUUCAUUGAUCUUGGUUCCCAAGUCUGCAUCUGCACCCACUGUUGUACAAAGCUGCUGGCUACUUCCUUUUACCUCUGCCCUAAGAAUGCUACCUGAUGAGUGUUUCUGCCCUCAUCUGACAGCUGCAGCUUUGUACCUGAGCUCUUGGCAUGCAUGUAGUCAGUAUUUUGAAUGAUACCUUCCAUCAAACUGAUUGCUCAAAGGGAUGUUUCUGGCUGAGGUUCCCACCUUCUCUGAUCCAGCCUCUGCUGGAUCUUAAAAUAAUGGUGUCUAUUAGCAUAUUGCAGCAUAGUGAUGUAUUAAAUAACACUUAAGAAUGGAAAUACUCCUCAUUUUCUUGUAUCGGGAAGAGUGGUAGGAAAGAGGGAGGUGAAAAUUCAGAAAUCUUCAAUGUGACAGGGAAGAGUUAAGAAGAACAAUACAGAGUCAUUUCAACAGACAGAUUCAUAGCAGUUUUAUGAUACGAGUUUGGAGGUGUGAAACGAUGAUAAGUGUAAUUCUCAUAUCCUUGGUUUUGUUUCUUCUGAGUGCGCAGUUCCUGAGUCUGCAAUGGAAGAGUCGUGGAUUUCCUCCUGGACCGACCCCAUUUCCCAUCAUUGGAAGCUUCUGGUGGAUAAACUUUAGAGCUGAUCAUGGGAGCCUGGAAAAGCUGGCAAAAACCUAUGGCAACAUCUGCACCCUGUGGUUGGGUCACAGACCUAUGGUGGUGCUCUAUGGGUUCCAAGCUGUGAAGAAUGGUCUCACCACCAACUCAGAGGAUGUUUCGGGGCGACUACAGACCUAUGUUUUCAAUAAAAUGGCAAGUGGAAAGGGUAUCUUGGUCUCAAAUGGUCUCAUCUGGAAACAACAGAGACAUUUUGGAAUUGGAACUCUCCGAAAACUGGGAAUGGGGAAUAAAGGAAUGGAGCGUGGGAUACAAACUGAGGCCCGUUACCUGGUCGAGUUCUUCAGAGAUAAAGCAGGAGAAGCUAUUGACCCUUCCUUCCCUAUUGUCCACGCUGUCUCUAAUGUGAUUUGUGCUGUGGUUUUUGGACAUCGUUUCUCCCUAGAGGAUAAAACCUUCCGCCAGCUGAUUGAAGCCUUCAAUUGUAUAGUGGCUUUUGGGAACAGCCACUUUUAUUAUAUAUGUGAAACAUUCCCGUGGGCUGCGAUGUGCCUCCCAGGACCUCUACAUAAAACAAAACUUUCCUGGGAUUUUGUGCGUUCCUUUGUAAGGCAGGAAAUCAAAAGCCACAGAGAAAAAGGCAGAAUAGAUGAACCAGAAGAUUUCAUUGACUUUUACUUGAAGCAGCUAGAGAAAGCUAAAAAUGUCCCCAAUUCUACAUUUGAUGAAGACAACAUGGUGCAGUCUGUGUUUGACCUUUUCCUGGGUGGCUCAGAGACCACAGCCACCACUCUGCGCUGGGCUCUGCUCUAUAUGUUGAUUUAUCCUGACAUCCAAGAGAAAGUCCAGGAAGAGCUGGAUGCUGUUCUGAGUCCCUCCCAUCUCAUCUGCUAUGAGGAUCGGAAGAAGCUGCCCUACACAAACGCCGUGAUUCAUGAGAUCCUCCGCUUCAGCAGCAUUGUUCUGAUCACAAUUCCUAGAGAAGCUGUGAAGGAUACCACUGUUUUGGGGUAUCAUGUUCCAAAGAACUGUGCCAACUGCAUCUUCCUUUCAGGGCACUCUAAUUAUGGCAAAUAUAGACUCUACUCUUUUUGACCCUGCCUAUUGGGAGACCCCUCACCAGUUCAACCCUGGCCAUUUCUUGGACAAGGAUGGAAAUUUUGUGACUCGAGAGGCCUUCUUAGCCUUCUCAGCAGGUCACCGUGUUUGUCUGGGAGAGGUGAUGGCUAAGAUGGAGUUUUUCAUCAUCUUCUGCAGCCUGUUGCAGAAAUUCAAGUUUACUGUGCCAGAAGGAGUUAAGGAAAUCAACACAGACUUUAUCUUUGGGAGCACCAUGAAACCCCAUCCAUACAAGCUCUGUGCAGUUCUGCGCUAGGUUGCUCUGUGUUCGAUAUUUAAGAGGCACAGACACAGGUGUGGUAGUGUGCUGGUAUUUGUGAAGCUUUAUAGUUCUAAUUUUUAGCUUAAAUUCAGUGCAAACCUAUCCUUGUUGUGUUACGUGUCUGAGAAGCCAGCCCUGAAAAAUACUCUCGUUUUCUUAUGUCUGGAAAGUGUCUGUACUUUUUUUUUCUCUGCUGUGUUACAAAUGAAAUAAACAUAGACAAUUA